UACGUAGGGUGCAAGCGUUGUUCGGAAUCACUGGGCGUAAAGCGCACGUAGGCGGAUAUGUCAGUCAGGGGUGAAAUCCCGGGGCUCAACCUCGGAACUGCCUUUGAUACAGCAUGUCUUGAGUCCGAUAGAGGUGGGUGGAAUUCCUAGUGUAGAGGUGAAAUUCGUAGAUAUUAGGAAGAACACCGGUGGCGAAGGCGGCCCACUGGAUCGGUACUGACGCUGAGGUGCGAAAGCGUGGGGAGCAAACAGG
Molecule: ribosomal RNA, 253 nt
Filed under: uncultured bacterium
Lineage: Bacteria
Description: partial 16S ribosomal RNA
Rfam family: Bacterial small subunit ribosomal RNA
Source: RNAcentral